Molecule: non-coding RNA, 72 nt
Organism: Podarcis lilfordi (Lilford's wall lizard)
Lineage: Eukaryota; Metazoa; Chordata; Lepidosauria; Squamata; Lacertidae
Source: the annotation of a GenBank genome assembly
GGAGAGGGCUUUGGCUCAGUGUUAAGAGCAUCUGCAUGCAGAAGACUGCAGGUUCAAUCCCUGGGCUCUCCA